GGGGGGAUGCCAGAGGGAGCCAAAGUCCUGCUGCUCUCGGUGCACUUGUCAGCUGGUGUUGGAAGACGGGGCUUGCCACAGGACCAGUGGGAAGCUUUAAAAAUGAGCCCGGGGCUUAUUCACCUCAUGGGUGACUCUGCGCGUAGUCAUCUCUCUGGCAGUAAAGACUUGCCAGUAGAAGGGGCUAGACUGGUUGAGUUCUCUGUUUUCAGUAUAAUCCGGCUGACAGGGGAAAUCUUAAUGAUUCUUGUUUUAUCUAUUACUUUUUUCACAAAGUACCCCCAGGCUGUGGACAGAAACCUGACCUGUUGGUUUUCUUCUCUGAAUCCCACAUGAGAUUCUCCAUGGUUCCCAGGAUUUUGUUUUUUAAGCUCCGAGCCUGCAUGGCAGGUGAAGUAAUCACACUGGAAAUGGAUUCGCAUUGAGCAGCCAGCCACGUGAGCCUAGUCAUGUGGUUUUCUGGGAUCUGAGUUACUUGGUGCCUUUUUAGGUUUGCUGAACUCAGAAUGCAGCCCAGGCUGAACUCCGAGUUCUGAAAGUACUAUGGUUACUAUUUGCAGAGAAAUUAAGAUUUUUCUGAAGCUCUUUUCUUGCCUUCCAUUUCUAACAAUUGCUAAUAGUUAGAUGGUGAUUACAAAUAUCAGUCCUGAAGUUUGAUUCUUAUAGCAAUGCAUGAAAUAGGCUUGAUUUUUGCUCUCAUUUUCCAGAUGGGGAAACUGUGGUCCAGAUUCUAAGCAAGUUGCCCAAAGUUGCAUAGCUAAGGUUCUGACCAGCCCAUUUGUACCUGCACAGCUGUCGUGCUCUCUCCUGUGAGUGUGGCACUGGCCCACUCAUGUGCUCACCAGGACACCCAGCUUCACCCCUUCACACACCCAGCAGAGCAAAAACAUGGGAGUCUAGAGUGUCCAACAGCGGCCAGUUUGCCAUCGUGAAGAAGUGCAGGGAGAAGAGCACGGGACUGGAGUAUGCAGCCAAGUUCAUCAAGAAGCGGCAGAGCCGGGCGAGCCGGCGAGGCGUGAGCCGGGAGGAGAUCGAGCGGGAGGUGAGCAUCCUGCGGCAGGUGCUGCACCCCAACGUCAUCACGCUGCACGACGUCUAUGAGAACCGCACCGACGUGGUGCUCAUCCUGGAGCUAGUGUCUGGAGGAGAGCUCUUCGAUUUCCUGGCCCAGAAGGAGUCACUGAGUGAGGAGGAAGCCACCAGCUUCAUUAAGCAGAUCCUGGAUGGGGUGAACUACCUUCACACAAAGAAAAUUGCUCACUUUGAUCUCAAGCCAGAAAACAUUAUGUUGUUAGACAAGAAUAUUCCCAUUCCACACAUCAAGCUGAUUGACUUUGGCCUGGCUCAUGAAAUAGAAGAUGGAGUUGAAUUUAAGAGCAUUUUUGGGACACCAGAAUUUGUUGCUCCAGAAAUUGUGAACUAUGAGCCCCUGGGUCUGGAGGCCGACAUGUGGAGCAUAGGCGUCAUCACCUAUAUUCUCCUGAGUGGAGCGUCCCCUUUCCUGGGAGACACAAAGCAGGAAACGCUGGCGAACAUCACGGCGGUGAGUUACGACUUCGAUGAGGAAUUCUUCAGCCAGACUAGCGAGCUGGCCAAGGACUUCAUCAGGAAGCUUCUGGUGAAAGAGACCCGGAAACGGCUCACCAUCCAAGAGGCUCUCAGACACCCCUGGAUCACGUCCAAAGGCGAAGGCAGAGCCGCCGAACAGCGGAAGGCAGAGCCCACCCCGCUGAAGACCAAGCACCUGAGAGAGUACACCCUCAAGUGCCACUCGAGCAUGCCCCGCAACAACACCUAUGUCAACUUCGAGCGUUUUGCCCGUGUGGUGGAGGACGUGGCUCGGGUGGACCAGGGAUGCCGUGCCCUGGCGGGGGCCCACGACACCAUCCAGGACGACGUGGAGGCCCUGGUCUCCAUCUACAACGAAAAGGAAGCUUGGUACCGAGAGGAGAACGAGCGCACCCGGCACGACCUGUCCCAGCUCAAGUACGAGCUCCGCAAGGUGGAGUCCUGGAAGAAGCUCCUGCGAGAAGACAUCCAGGCCUCAGGGGCCAGCCUCGGAGGCAUGGCCAGGAAAAUGGACCAUCUGCAGGCCCAGUUCGAGGCUCUCAGGCAGGAGCUCUCAACAGACCUGCAGUGGAUCCAGGAACUGGUGGGCAGCUUCCAGCUGGAGAGUGGGAGCUCAUCAGACGGCCCGGGCUCUGUGCUCCACCGGGACACCAGCGAAUCCCUGUCGGAGCUGCUGCACAGGUCGUGCAGCGAGGAAGUCCUGGCCGGCUGGAAGCUCUGAGCACCAGAAUCCAGUCGGGGAUGCAUCCUGGAUGGGUUGCGGAAGCAUGUUCUCAUCCGCCCUGCUGCAGCACCCAGCUAGAAUUAAUUAUCCCGCAGGGGUGUGUGUCUGUAGCACAGCCUUCCACCCCCUCCACGGAAGCCAGAAUCGCAGAGGUGCUGGUUCGUUAUUCAUUCCGCACCUCCUCUCGCCAAUCUGGUUUUCUGAGAGGGCGCUGGCAGGGCAGCCAAGCUGUUAAAAUAAUUAGAGAAUAAAUACCCCUUAGUGCACCCUUCUCCAGAGAGAGGAUGGCUGGCCCUGGGGAGACACUGGAUAAUUGAUUUGUGAUGAUGGACUUGUUCACAUCUCACAUCCUGCCUCCAUGCCGUAUGGAAUGCAGGCCUUGGGCAAUAUUUGAGUUAGGUAGGGAUAACUAAGGUAGCAUGGUGCUUUCCUGCUACAGAAGUGGGGAUUUAAAAUGCACAGAGAAAACACUAUGACCUUCCGUUUGGACUGACUUUUCACUUACGGAGCACUUAUGUCAGUGACCUCACUUGAUGCUUAAAAGAACUCUCUGAGAUAGGCAGCCGGUGGACAACCAGCAAGCCAUGGUGCGCAGGGAGUCCGUGGUCAACCUGGAGAACUUCAAGAGGCAGUAUGUGCGCAG
Molecule: non-coding RNA, 2936 nt
Organism: Microcebus murinus (gray mouse lemur)
Lineage: Eukaryota; Metazoa; Chordata; Mammalia; Primates; Cheirogaleidae
Source: RefSeq, a predicted model, not a curated record